Alligator mississippiensis (American alligator) is the source of this 981-nucleotide long non-coding RNA. RefSeq lists it as uncharacterized. Lineage: Eukaryota; Metazoa; Chordata; Crocodylia; Alligatoridae. The transcript has 3 exons. The record is from RefSeq and is a predicted model, not a curated record.
UUUCCUGUUCACACGUGUGCAUCCUGCCAUGCCUUAUAGCUCAGGUGUGCUUGCAGCCUGCCUGGCUUAUGGGCGUGUUCAUAGGGCAUGCCUUCUUGUAGCCCUAAGAAGCCCUAAGGUCACGAUGGCCCCUCAGUUGGAGCCUGCAGGCCCAAGACAAGGAGACAUAAGAAGAGGCUGCAGAAACCUAGAAGGAAUGAGAAACCACUUACAUGCUCAGAGAGGCAGAGGCACCAAUGCUGGCCUCCUGUGGGCCCAUCCCAGAUCAAGGAGGGAAGGAUGUGGGGAGGGGAUGACAGGGGUGGAUGCAGAGGGGAGGAGUCAAAGUCUUCACCGCCUGAGGGCGAAGCAGCACGGCAAGAUCCUGGCUGGGUAGAACCUGUGGGAGAAGGGGCAGAGUCAGGGCACGCUCAGGGGCAUCCAGGCCAGGCAAGAAGAAGCUAGCGGGCGUAGGACGGGGUGGCUCUCGGCUCCACCUCUCACCCCCAGGGAAGAAGUAUGGGUUAAAGCAGAGUCUCCCCAGCAGGGCAUGGGGUGCUGGAAGUGGCAGUGGCCUGGGGGUUUGGGGUGUCUGCGAGGUGACCAGUGUCCCUGCCUCACACCCCCAGUGCUGACACUGCGGCAGAGGGGAGGAGGAGAAGGUGGAGAGCAGCACAAAGGAGCAGAUGCAGCUCUCAAGGAAUGGAGACAGGGACCCAGGCCAGUCAGUCCCCCACCAUUGAGGCCAGCCCCCAGGCAGAGGGCACCCAGCAUGAAGACACCUCCACCCAGACCAGGACCCUCUGCCUGGCUGAGGUGGGGUGCCAGGCUGACCCCCUGCUGAAGUUGGAGGUUCCAGCUGGCCGGGAUCUUCCCCUGCAGAAGGCAAACAGCUGAACUCCUCCUUUCCCCUUCCAGCCCUUUCAUCCCCUCCCUCCAUCCUCCCGUGCCUGAUCUGGGAAUGGGCUCACAGGAUGUCAGCUUUGGUGCUUCUGCCUCUCU